RNAcentral lists this ribosomal RNA (632 nucleotides) under uncultured bacterium. Its description in RNAcentral is "bacterial SSU rRNA". It matches the Rfam family "Bacterial small subunit ribosomal RNA", at positions 554 to 1186 of the family's 1533-position model. The record is from RNAcentral.
UUGGGCGUAAGAGCUCGUAGGCGGUUUGUCGCGUCUGCUGUGAAAACUGGAGGCUCAACCUCCAGCCUGCAGUGGGUACGGGCAAACUAGAGUGCGGUAGGGGAGAUUGGAAUUCCUGGUGUAGCGGUGGAAUGCGCAGAUAUCAGGAGGAACACCGAUGGCGAAGGCAGAUCUCUGGGCCGUAACUGACGCUGAGGAGCGAAAGCAUGGGGAGCGAACAGGAUUAGAUACCCUGGUAGUCCAUGCCGUAAACGUUGGGCGCUAGAUGUGGGGACCAUUCCACGGUUUCCGUGUCGCAGCUAACGCAUUAAGCGCCCCGCCUGGGGAGUACGGCCGCAAGGCUAAAACUCAAAGGAAUUGACGGGGGCCCGCACAAGCGGCGGAGCAUGCGGAUUAAUUCGAUGCAACGCGAAGAACCUUACCAAGGCUUGACAUAUACGAGAACGCUCUAGAAAUAGAGAACUCUUUGGACACUCGUAUACAGGUGGUGCAUGGUUGUCGUCAGCUCGUGUCGUGAGAUGUUGGGUUAAGUCCCGCAACGAGCGCAACCCUCGUUCUAUGUUGCCAGCGGUUCGGCCGGGAACUCAUAGGAGACUGCCGGGGUCAACUCGGAGGAAGGUGGGGAUGACGUC